RNAcentral lists this ribosomal RNA (447 nucleotides) under uncultured bacterium. RNAcentral's name for it is "bacterial SSU rRNA". It matches the Rfam family "Bacterial small subunit ribosomal RNA", at positions 355 to 799 of the family's 1533-position model. The record is from RNAcentral.
UCGGGAAUUUUGGGCAAUGGGCGCAAGCCUGAUCCAGCCAUGCCGCGUGCAGGAUGACGGUCCUAUGGAUUGUAAACUGCUUUUGUACAGGAAGAAACAGUUCUACGUGUAGAACCUUGACGGUACUGUAAGAAUAAGGAUCGGCUAACUCCGUGCCAGCAGCCGCGGUAAUACGGAGGAUCCAAGCGUUAUCCGGAAUCAUUGGGUUUAAAGGGUCCGUAGGCGGUUAGAUAAGUCAGUGGUGAAAGCCCAUCGCUCAACGGUGGAACGGCCAUUGAUACUGUCUGACUUGAAUUAUUAGGAAGUAACUAGAAUAUGUAGUGUAGCGGUGAAAUGCUUAGAGAUUACAUGGAAUACCAAUUGCGAAGGCAGGUUACUACUAAUGGAUUGACGCUGAUGGACGAAAGCGUGGGUAGCGAACAGGAUUAGAUACCCUAGUAGUCCCUG